This 644-nucleotide ribosomal RNA is filed under the name fungal endophyte. Its description in RNAcentral is "eukaryotic LSU rRNA". The stretch from base 182 to 335 matches the Rfam family "5.8S ribosomal RNA". Lineage: Eukaryota; Fungi. The record is from RNAcentral.
CAUUAAAGAGUUCUAUAACUCCCAAACCCAUGUGAACAUACCUAACGUUGCCUCGGCAGGUCGCACCUACCUUGUAGCACCCUACCCUGUAGGGCCUACCCGGGAGGUGCGGGUAAGCCUGCCGGCGGCCCACCAAACUCUGUUUGAUAUUGAAUUCUGAACCUAUAACUAAAUAAGUUAAAACUUUCAACAACGGAUCUCUUGGUUCUGGCAUCGAUGAAGAACGCAGCGAAAUGCGAUAAGUAAUGUGAAUUGCAGAAUUCAGUGAAUCAUCGAAUCUUUGAACGCAUAUUGCGCCCAUUAGUAUUCUAGUGGGCAGGACCGUUCGAGCGUCAUUUCAACCCUUAAGCCUUCGUUGCUUAGUGUUGGGAGCCUACGGCAACGUAGCUCCUCAAAGUUAGUGGCGGAGUUGGUUCACACUCUAGACGUAGUAAUUUUUUAUCUCGCCUAUUAGUUGGACUAAUCCCCUGCCGUAAAACCCCUAAUUUAUCAAGGUUGACCUCGAAUCGGUUCAGACAAACUCGCUAAAUUGAAGCAUCUUAGUCAGCGAAGGAAAAGAAACCAACAGGGAUUGCCCUAGUAACGGCGAGUGAAGCGGCAACAGCUCAAAUUUGAAAUCUGGCCCUCGGGUCCGAGUUGUAAUU